Molecule: non-coding RNA, 2384 nt
Organism: Anolis sagrei ordinatus
Lineage: Eukaryota; Metazoa; Chordata; Lepidosauria; Squamata; Anolidae
Source: RefSeq, a predicted model, not a curated record
UGUUGCUACUAAGAGGUUGCAACGUACUUUAUCUAAGUUGUUGUAAGGAUCAAUGUUGUUUGUGCUAUACCUUUAACUUACUGUAAGGUUCAAGGCUGUUUGUGCUACAGCUGUUUCAGUUAAUUGAAGAGUUAAUUGAGAGUAUUAUUUUCAUGUGUAUAAAGAUAGCUACUGUGUGUUUAGUUUUUGCCAUUGUGCCUUAAUGCCAUUGUGCGUGUUUGCCAUUGUGCGUGUUUGCCUCUGUGCCGUUCUGUCGGGGACUAUGCUGCAGAUGUCCUGUGAAGACACAGCCUUGAGAAGAGGACAAGGAUUCCUGCUUAUCUCAGCUGAGUGGUGAUAUCUCUCAGAAGAUAUUGUUUUAUGUUACUUUUGUGGAAACAGUAAUCCUGCUACUUUAUUUUGUAUGCUGCCAAUACAACAAUAUUUUCUUUUCUACUUGAAGUCAACGUCUCAUGUAUUUUUUCUUUUAUGAGCCAAUUCAUCACACAUUGUUAACUGGGCUAGAGUCAAUCCGCAUGCUUCUCAUGCUAGCGCAUGACAUAGGUUAUGGGCCCAGCAUAGCGGCAUAAGGACUCCAAAGCCCAUAACUCUGAGACUUUGGGAGAGUUUUUUGUGUGUGUUUUUUGUGCUUAAAUAGAAAAGUAAGCAGCUAUGGCUCAUCAUAUGGCAAGCUUACCAUUUGAGCGUUUAAAUGCUGAUAAUUACAUGGCUUGGAAUGUGAAAAUGAAGAGUUUUCUCAUAAGAGAAGAUUUGUGGACUGUGGUUGAAACCCCACCCACAGAAGCUUCGAGUGAAGAGGUAAAAAAGCAAGACCGAAUUGCCAGGGCGAGCAUUUUUCUCGCUGUUGAGGAUGGGCAAUUAAUUUACUUAAGGGACACUAUAUCUGCAGCAGACUGUUGGCAGAAGUUAAAGGAAGUUUAUCAAACUGAAACUUCUGGCAUAAAAAUUAUUUUGACCCGGCAGCUUUAUAAUUUGAAGCUAAAAAGGGGUGACAACAUAACUGAGCAUUUGCAAAAGCUCAGGCAUUUGUUGAUGGAGUUGGAAAAUAGACAAAUGGUGUUUACCGAAACACAUAAAGCUUUCAUUUUGUUAUCUUCUUUGGACUCUAGUUGGGACAAUUUUGUGUUCAGUAUGCAGAGUGUGCCUGAAGCACAAUUAACCUUGGAUUUGGUUUCUGCAAGGCUUCUUGAGGAAGAAAGAAGAAAGCAGUUUCUUAAAGAAACAAACACCAUUUCAGAAAAUGCAGCUUGUGAAGGGGUUGGAUGCAGAAAGAACCCUGCUGUGUGUAACGUAAGGAGGUGCUUCAGUUGUGGAGAUGUGAAUCAUCUUGUCAAGGCCUGUCCCAAGAAGAAGAAGAAGAAAGAAGAAAUGAAGAGGAACCCUGGGUGGCAUGACAGAAAUGCAAGGGGAAGAAAUGCUGAUAGGCUGACAAAGAACUGGUAAUGUACGCCGACAGUUCUUUUGCUGAUGAAAAAGAUAGAAAAUCUAUAAGUGGAUACAUAGUGCUACAUGGAAAAUCUCCUAUCUGCUGGAGGUCCAGAAAGCAAACAACUGUUGCAGUUUCUACGGCUGAAGCAGAAUAUGCGGCGUUGUCUCAAGCUGCAAAUGAGUUACUUUGGAUUAAACAGUUAUUUGAUGAUUUAGGUGUAGAAUGUAAAUUGCCUAUUACUGUGUAUGACGAUUCUCAAACGUGUAUAGCUAUGUCAGAAAGCGAAAGUUUAAAAAAUACAACAAAAUACAUAGCUGUGAAGUAUCAAAAUAUAAGAACCUUAAUCAAGGAAGGAUUUAUCAAAAUGGUUUAUUGUAGGUCUGAAGAUAACUUGGCAGAUAUUUUUACAAAACCUUUAACGGCAGCUAAGCAUGGUGAAGCAACCAGAAAGUUAGGCCUAGUAGAAUUAAAACAAAAUUUGUAAAUAAUGUAACUUAGAUAAAGUGAAGGGGCAUGUUGCUACUAAGAGGUUGCAACAUACUUUAUCUAAGUUGUUGUAAGGAUCAAUGUUGUUUGUGCUAUACCUUUAACUUACUGUAAGGUUCAAGGCUGUUUGUGCUACAGCUGUUUCAGUUAAUUGAAGAGUUAAUUGAGAGUAUUAUUUUCAUGUGUAUAAAGAUAGCUACUGUGUGUUUAGUUUUUGCCAUUGUGCCUUAAUGCCAUUGUGCGUGUUUGCCAUUGUGCGUGUUUGCCUCUGUGCCGUUCUGUCGGGGACUAUGCUGCAGAUGUCCUGUGAAGACACAGCCUUGAGAAGAGGACAAGGAUUCCUGCUUAUCUCAGCUGAGUGGUGAUAUCUCUCAGAAGAUAUUGUUUUAUGUUACUUUUGUGGAAACAGUAAUCCUGCUACUUUAUUUUGUAUGCUGCCAAUACAACAAUAUUUUCUUUUCUACUUGAA